Molecule: unclassified non-coding RNA, 3570 nt
Filed under: Hevea brasiliensis (rubber tree)
Lineage: Eukaryota; Viridiplantae; Streptophyta; Magnoliopsida; Malpighiales; Euphorbiaceae
Source: RNAcentral
AGGAAAAUUCCUCACCCGAUAAAGCAUAUGCUUUCUCCAACCAGGCGCAGAUUCCCUUCCUUCCUUGCACGGAUACGAAACAAAAACGCAUCUCUUUUUUAAUUUCCUCCCUUUCUCAUUGGCGCGUUCACUGCGGAAUUGCAAAUCCAAUUCAAAUUAUAGGGUUUAGACAAACUCCCAAAAUCUCUAACAGCAAUGGAAUCGAUACAGAGCCGAGUAGAAUCAUGGAUCAGGGACCAGAGAGCUAAGAUCCUCAAGGUGUCUUGGGCCCCACUGCAGUGGAGAAUGAGGUGGCCGCCUUGGUUUCACAGCGACAGAGAACAUAGGAAGAAGAUUCAACAAGAAUACGAGCGCCGGAGGAAGCAGCUCAACGAUCUCUGUCUCGCCGUCAAGGCCGAUUCCGUCUCCGACUUGCAGGAAAUUCUCUGUUGCAUGGUCCUCUCCGAGUGUGUAUAUAAGAGACCUGCUAAUGAGAUGGUUCGGGCUUUGAACAAAUUUAAGGCUGACUUUGGAGGACAAGUUGUUUCUCUGGAGCGUGUGCAACCCUCUUCAGAUCAUGUUCCUCACAGGUACCUAUUAGCAGAAGCAGGUGACACUUUGUUUGCUUCCUUUAUUGGGACAAAACAGUACAAGGAUGUUGUGACCGAUGUAAAUAUACUACAAGGUGCUAUAUUUCAUGAGGAUGCCAUGGAGGAUGCUGCCCAGAUGGAAGCCAGUGAAUCUGUGCAAGGUGAAACUCUAAAGGGAAAUGGGGAAAGUCAUUGGAAUCCUCUUGAAUCAAAGCCUAAACAUCUGAAAGAUCAGCCUAAGCCUGCCGCUCAUCGAGGUUUCUUGGCUCGUGCUAAAGGCAUACCUUCUUUAGAGUUGUACAGGCUUGCUCAGAAGAAGAAUCGAAAACUUGUAUUGUGUGGGCAUUCACUUGGUGGGGCAGUGGCAGCAUUAGCUACUCUUGCUAUCCUGAGGGUUGUUGCUGCAUCCUCUCCAUCAAAAGAAGAUGAAAAGAUUCAGGUUAAAUGUAUAACAUUUUCCCAACCACCAGUUGGGAAUGCUGCUUUAAGAGACUACGUCCAUGAAAAAGGCUGGCAGCAUUAUUUUAAGAGUUACUGCAUUCCUGAAGAUUUGGUGCCCCGUAUCCUUUCUCCUGCUUAUUUUCAUCACUAUAAUGCUCAACCUUUGUCAAUGAAUACUGAGGUUGAAACUACCAGUCAAUCAGUCUCAAAACAUGAGCAAUGGAUAGAAAAAUCAAGGGCACAGAAGCCAAAGGAGAAUGAGGGGGAGCGACUGGUUCUGGGUUUAGGCCCUGUGCAGACUUCUUUUUGGAGACUUUCGAGGCUUGUUCCUUUGGAGGGAAUUAGAAGGCAAUUCAAUAAGUACACAGGAAAACAAGUUGGUCCCAUAGGGACAUCAGUGACAACUAAUUCUGGUGUAACAUCUACAAUUGAGGAUGUAGUUGCACCUCAGUCUCUCGAAAUCCAAGAGGGUUCUGAUGGCAUAUCUCUUAAACCAUUAUCUGACACUAAUAAUGGGCCACCAGAGGAAUCAAUGACUGGAAAAGUAGGCGAAAAAGGAAAUGAUAGAAGUGGAGAUAGAAGAAACUGGCGUAGGGUACCUUAUUUACCUUCAUAUGUCCCAUUUGGUCAGCUGUAUCUAUUGGGAAAUUCUUCAGUGGAAUUACUAUCUGGUGCAGAGUACUCAAAAUUAACAUCGGUCAGAUCUGUGAUUGCUGAACUAAGGGAACGAUUUCAAUCACAUUCAAUGAGAUCUUAUCGGUUUCGAUUUCAGAGAAUCUAUGACAUGUGCAUGGGUGAUGCUGCUUCAUCUUUUCCCGGAAUGGAGCAAGUGCCUCAGUUUGUGCAUUUGCAACAGUGGCUUGGGCUUGCAGUUGCAGGUGCUGUAAAGCUUGCUCAAAUUGUAGAAUUGCCAGUUAUUCGCAUAGCCACUUCAGUUAUCCCUCUAGGGUGGAAUGGUGUUCCUGGUGAGAAGAAUGGAGAAACCUUAAAAGUUGAUAUUAUCGGUUUUGGUUUGCACCUUUGUAACUUGGUCCAUGCUCAAGUCAAUGGUAACUGGUGUGCAACUACAGUGGAGUCAUUUCCUCCUGCACCCAGCUAUUCUUCAAACCAUGAAGUACAGCCAGAACUACAAAAGAUGAGGGUUUUAGUUGGAGCUCCUCUGAGACGACCACCAAAACAUCCUAUAGUGGCAGAUUCAUUGACGCCUGUUUUUCCUUCUAUUGAUUCAGAUGCUGAUAAUCUCAAUGAAGGACAUAGUUUAGGGCAUCAGGAGAAAUUGCUCUGCCCUGAAGGUUUGACUGAUUUUUGCAUUUAUUGUACAAGUGAUUUUGCUACUGUCUCUAAGGAGGUCCAUGUCAGAACUCGUAGGGUGCGGUUACUCGGACUUGAGGGUGCUGGUAAAACUUCUCUUUUCAAGGCAAUUAUGGGUCAAAGCAGACUAACCACCAUUGCCAAUUUUGAGAAUAUGCACAUAGAGGCUGAUGUCCAAGAAGGUAUUGCUGGUGGUGUAUGCUACAUUGAUUCAGCUGGGAUAAAUUUGCAGGACCUAAAUAUGGAGGCCUCUCGUUUUAGGGAUGAACUAUGGGUGGGAAUUCGUGACCUCAGUAGGAAAACAGAUUUGAUUAUUCUGGUGCAUAACAUGUCGCAUAAGAUUCCUCGAAGCAGUAGCCAAAAUGCAUCAUCUCAACAGCCAGUACUUUCACUUCUUUUAGAUGAGGCUAAAGCUCUUGGAAUUCCUUGGGUUCUUGCUGUAACAAACAAAUUUUCUGUCAGUGCACACCAGCAAAAAGCAGCAAUUGAUGCUGUUUUGCAGGCAUAUCAAGCAUCUGUAAGCACCACAGAAGUUGUGAAUUCCUGUCCUUACGUAAUCCACACUGCUGCUGCCAGUGCUUCUUUGUCGCUGGCUGCUGCUGAGAGAGAUUCUGGUGGAAGGAUUGGUGGUGAAAAGCUUAUUUUUGCUCCAAUUAAUCUUGUUCGGAGGCCAUUUCAAAGAAGAGACACCAUUUUUCCCGUUGAGGGUGUGAAUUCACUUUGUCAGCUUGUCCACCGCGUGCUGCGGAGUCAUGAAGAGGCCUCGUUACAGGAACUAGCUAGAGAUAGACUUUUGGCAGAACUGACACGGGAGCGAGCAAUGGCAACAGAUGCAAGACGAGAGUCUCAAGCCAAGGCAUCUUCCUUGACAGCUGCUGCUGUGGGUGCUUCCCUUGGGGCUGGUGUUGGCCUUGUCUUGGCUGUUGUCAUGGGUGCUGCAUCUGCUUUACGGAAGCCCUAAGCAAAUAUAGAUCUUCUGAAAAUGGAAGUUCCAUAGCUGGUGUAAAUUGUAUUUUCUCAUUGGUUAGAUGUAGCGUCAAUAGCAGCAGACUUGCCAUUUGUUUAUUCAAUUGUAUUCAUGUAAAACCAUUAGAGUCCUUAGAGUUCUGCUUGCUUGAACUUCUCAUCCUUAGACAAACAGUGUAACACCCGAAUCUCAUCACCGAUUAUCAAGAAACAGUAAAUCGAGAGGAAUGCAUUCAUUAAACGCACGAGUCUUUGAUAGAUAUGGACGCAUACACACACAGUU